This 28-nucleotide small RNA is filed under the name Bombyx mori (domestic silkworm). RNAcentral's name for it is "piRNA piR-bmo-1481453". Lineage: Eukaryota; Metazoa; Arthropoda; Insecta; Lepidoptera; Bombycidae. The record is from RNAcentral.
UAAUAUGAGUUGCGGGAGGAACUGAUGC